Small nuclear RNA from Sciurus carolinensis (gray squirrel), 104 nucleotides. Lineage: Eukaryota; Metazoa; Chordata; Mammalia; Rodentia; Sciuridae. The record is from RefSeq and is a predicted model, not a curated record.
GUGCUUGCUUCAGCAGCACAUAUACUAAAAUUGAAACCAUACAGAGAUUAGCAUGGCACCUGAGCAAGGAUGACAAGAAAAUUCAUGAAGAAUUUCACUUAUCU